UGAGGAAUAUUGCACAAUGGGGGGAACCCUGAUGCAGCAACGCCGCGUGGAGGAUGAAGGUCUUUGGAUUGUAAACUCCUUUUUUCGGGGAAGAGGAAGGACGGUACCCGAGGAAUAAGUCACGGCUAACUACGUGCCAGCAGCCGCGGUAAUACGUAGGUGGCAAGCGUUAUCCGGAAUUACUGGGCGUAAAGGGCACGCAGGCGGCUUCAAAAGUCUGACGUGAAAGCUCCUGGCUUAACUGGGAGAGGUCGUUGGAAACUGAGGGGCUUGAGGUGAUGAGAGGGGUGCGGAAUUCCCGGUGUAGUGGUGGAAUGCGUAGAUAUCGGGAGGAACACCAGUGGCGAAGGCGGCACCCUGGCAUUAACCUGACGCUCAUGUGCGAAAGCGUGGGGAGCGAACGGGAUUAGAUACCCCCGUAGUCC
Molecule: ribosomal RNA, 425 nt
Filed under: uncultured prokaryote
Description: bacterial SSU rRNA
Rfam family: Bacterial small subunit ribosomal RNA
Source: RNAcentral